GACGAACGCUGGCGGCGUGCUUAACACAUGCAAGUCGAGCGGUAAGGCCCUUUCGGGGGUACACGAGCGGCGAACGGGUGAGUAACACGUGGGUGACCUGCCCUCAGCUCUGGGAUAAGCCUGGGAAACCGGGUCUAAUACUGGAUAUGACUCCAUGACGCAUGUUGUGGGGUGGAAAGCCUUGUGCGGCUGAGGAUGGGCCCGCGGCCUAUCAGCUUGUUGGUGGGGUGAGGCCUACCAAGGCGACGACGGGUAGCCGGCCUGAGAGGGCGACCGGCCACACUGGGACUGAGACACGGCCCAGACUCCUACGGGAGGGCAGCAGUGGGGAAGUCUUGCGCAAUGGGCGAAAGCCUGACGCAGCGACGCCGCGUGAGGGAUGACGGCCUCGG
This 392-nucleotide ribosomal RNA is filed under the name uncultured bacterium. RNAcentral describes it as "bacterial SSU rRNA". It matches the Rfam family "Bacterial small subunit ribosomal RNA", at positions 28 to 420 of the family's 1533-position model. The record is from RNAcentral.